CCAGAAUUUGACGUUUAACGUUGGAAAAAAAAGAAAAUUUAUUUUCAAGUCCCUCAAAUUCUGGGUAAGAAUAAACAUCAUGAUGAUGACCUGUGUUAAGAUAGAAAGAAUAUAAAUAAGUUUCCUUUCAUAUGAUAUAUUCAAUCCCCACUCAGGAACAAAACAGAACAGUCAAGUAAACAGAUCCUCUGGGAACUUUUUUCUCACGACAAAUCAACAGUCAAAGAAAAUCAUGGGGGAAAAAUAUUCUCCUUUCCAAUUGAGGAAAACCAAAU
Molecule: unclassified non-coding RNA, 275 nt
Filed under: Hevea brasiliensis (rubber tree)
Lineage: Eukaryota; Viridiplantae; Streptophyta; Magnoliopsida; Malpighiales; Euphorbiaceae
Source: RNAcentral